UUGACAGUCAUUAUGUCCUUGAUUGGUU
This 28-nucleotide small RNA is filed under the name Bombyx mori (domestic silkworm). RNAcentral's name for it is "ovarian small RNA-4114". The record is from RNAcentral. Lineage: Eukaryota; Metazoa; Arthropoda; Insecta; Lepidoptera; Bombycidae.